Molecule: unclassified non-coding RNA, 1173 nt
Filed under: Hevea brasiliensis (rubber tree)
Lineage: Eukaryota; Viridiplantae; Streptophyta; Magnoliopsida; Malpighiales; Euphorbiaceae
Source: RNAcentral
AAAUAUUUGAAAUUUUCUGAUAUUCUUCAUUGAUUCAGGUUUGUGUAAUUUAUAGACUCUGAACAAUAAAUAAUAACAAUUUUCAAAUUAAAACAAAGCUACUAGAUAACUGAAAAAUAGCAACUGAUUAGCUAAAGAAUAGCAACAAAAUAGCUAAACUAAAGCCUUAUUACCUUAACUACUUUGACUUGACUGGAAACAAAUUAUUUCAAAAAUGAAAAUACUGCAGAUGCAUGACAUUCCUUCCCCGUUGAAAAGGGUCCUUGUCCUCAAGGAUAGAUAAGAUCAGGAAACUUUUCUUUGAAAGAUCUUUUUUCUUCCCACGUAGCUUCUGUUGUAGGAAGUCCUUGUCAUUGAAUAAGCAACUCACUCUUUCUGCCUCUUUUGCGAUAAUUCAGAACUGCCACUGGUUGAGGAUGCAACUCAUCAGAGUCUUGUAAUGUAACUAGUAAAUAAGGAUCUGUCUGAUUCCGUGCAGAUAGUUGCUUCUUGAGAAGGGAAACAUGGAAUACGGGAUGAAUUCUGCUACUUGAAGGAAGGUCUAAAUGGUAGGCAAUGGGCCCAGCACACUCCAACACUUGAUAAGGUCCAUAAAAACGAGGUAAGAGCUUAUGUGACUUCCGUAAGGCUAAGGAAGUUUGUUUGUAAGGCUGUAAAUGCAAAUAUACCCAAUCACCAACAGCAAACUCUCUUUCUACUCUUCCACGGUCAUAAGAGGACUUCAUUCAAGCUUGUGCUUGCUGUAGUUGAGACCUCAAUUCAUGUAGAAUUCGAUCUCGUUCUUGCAAUGUUUGAUUAACAGCCUCGACUUUAGCUGUUCCAGGAAUAUAGCUGAGCAAGUUUGGAGCUGACCUACCAUACACCAGUUCAAAUGGAGUUUUACCAGUAGAAGUAUGUAGGCUGGUAUUAUAACAUAACUUAGCCCAAGGCAACCAUUGAACCCAUUGAUGAGGCCUAGAGCUGAUGUAACAAUCCAGGAACAUCUCCAGUGUUCUGUUCACAGCCUCAGUUUGUCCAUCCGUUUGGGGAUGGUAAGAGGAGCUAUAAUUGAAAUGAGUGCCCUGCAAAUUGAAAAGUUCCUUCCAAAAAGCACUAAGAAAGACAGAGUCUCUAUCACAAGCAUUUUUUGAGAAUGUUUUUAAGCUCCAUGGCAUGCCAAGUUCAAUAGCUUGU